CCUACGGGAGGCAGCAGUGGGGAAUAUUGGGCAAUGGGCGCAAGCCUGACCCAGCAACGCCGCGUGAAGGAAGAAGGCUUUCGGGUUGUAAACUUCUUUUAAGAGGGAAGAGCAGAAGACGGUACCUCUUGAAUAAUCCACGGCUAACUACGUGCCAGCCGCCGCGGGAAUACGUAGGUGGCAAGCGUUGUCCGGAUUGACUGGGUGUAAAGGGCGUGUAGCCGGGCUGACAAGUCAGAUGUGAAAGCCCGUGGCUCAACCACGGAACUGCAUUUGAAACUUUCGGUCUUGAGUAUCGGAGAGGCAGGCGGAAUUCCUGGUGUAGCGGGGAAAUGCGUAGAUAUUAGGAGGAACACCAGUGGCGAAGGCGGCCUGCUGGACGACAACUGACGGUGAGGCGCGAAAGCGUGGGGAGCAAACAGGAUUAGAUACCCCAGUAGUC
RNAcentral lists this ribosomal RNA (442 nucleotides) under uncultured bacterium. Its description in RNAcentral is "partial 16S ribosomal RNA". It matches the Rfam family "Bacterial small subunit ribosomal RNA", at positions 338 to 795 of the family's 1533-position model. The record is from RNAcentral.